RNAcentral lists this ribosomal RNA (840 nucleotides) under Xanthoparmelia mexicana. RNAcentral's name for it is "eukaryotic LSU rRNA". It matches the Rfam family "Eukaryotic large subunit ribosomal RNA", at positions 81 to 936 of the family's 3401-position model. The record is from RNAcentral. RNAcentral also lists the same sequence under 4 other names. Lineage: Eukaryota; Fungi; Ascomycota; Lecanoromycetes; Lecanorales; Parmeliaceae.
CAGUAACGGCGAGUGAAGCGGCAACAGCUCAAAUUUGAAAUCUGGCUCCUUCGGGGUCCGAAUUGUAAUUUGUAGAGAGUGCUUCGGGCGAGACCUCGGUCUAAGUCCAUUGGAACAUGGUGUCAUAGAGGGUGAGAAUCCCGUAUGCGACCGUGGCUCGAGCCCAUGUGAAGCCUCUUCGACGAGUCGAGUUGUUUGGGAAUGCAGCUCAAAACGGGUGGUAAAUUUCAUCUAAAGCUAAAUACUGGCUGGAGACCGAUAGCGCACAAGUAGAGUGAUCGAAAGAUGAAAAGCACUUUGGAAAGAGAGUCAAACAGUACGUGAAAUUGUUGAAAGGGAAGCGCUUGCAACCAGACCUGCCCGUAGGCGAUCAGCCGCUGUUCUCAGCGGUGCACUCGCUCUGCGAUCAGGCCAGCAUCGGUUUCGGCGGUCGGAUAAAGGCCUUGGGAAUGUAGCUUCCCUUCGGGGGAGUCUUAUAGCCCUCGGUGUAAUGCGGCCAGCCGGGACCGAGGACCGCGCUUCGGCUAGGAUGCUGGCGUAAUGGUUGUAAGCGACCCGUCUUGAAACACGGACCAAGGAGUCUAACAUCUAUGCGAGUGUUUGGGUGUCAAACCCAUACGCGGAAUGAAAGUGAACGGAGGUGAGAACCCUUAAGGGCGCAUCAUCGACCGAUCCAGAUGUCUUCGGAUGGAUUUGAGUAUGAGCAUAGCUGUUGGGACCCGAAAGAUGGUGAACUAUGCCUGAAUAGGGUGAAGCCAGAGGAAACUCUGGUGGAGGCUCGCAGCGGUUCUGACGUGCAAAUCGAUCGUCAAAUUUGGGUAUAGGGGCGAAAGACUAAUC